This 502-nucleotide ribosomal RNA is filed under the name uncultured Bacteroidota bacterium. Its description in RNAcentral is "bacterial SSU rRNA". It matches the Rfam family "Bacterial small subunit ribosomal RNA", at positions 63 to 554 of the family's 1533-position model. Lineage: Bacteria; Pseudomonadati; Bacteroidota. The record is from RNAcentral.
CGAGGGGCAGCGGGAUUGAAGCUUGCUUCAAUUGCCGGCGACCGGCGCACGGGUGAGUAACGCGUAUCCAACCUUCCGUACACUCAGGGAUAGCCUUUCGAAAGAAAGAUUAAUACCUGAUGGUAUGAUGAGAUUGCAUGAUAGCAUCAUUAAAGAUUUAUCGGUGUACGAUGGGGAUGCGUUCCAUUAGGUAGUAGGCGGGGUAACGGCCCACCUAGCCAACGAUGGAUAGGGGUUCUGAGAGGAAGGUCCCCCACAUUGGAACUGAGACACGGUCCAAACUCCUACGGGAGGCAGCAGUGAGGAAUAUUGGUCAAUGGACGAGAGUCUGAACCAGCCAAGUAGCGUGAAGGAUGAAGGUCCUACGGAUUGUAAACUUCUUUUAUAAGGGAAUAAACCCUCCCACGUGUGGGAGCUUGUAUGUACCUUAUGAAUAAGCAUCGGCUAACUCCGUGCCAGCAGCCGCGGUAAUACGGAGGAUGCGAGCGUUAUCCGGAUUUAU